RNAcentral lists this ribosomal RNA (519 nucleotides) under uncultured Acidobacteriota bacterium. Its description in RNAcentral is "bacterial SSU rRNA". It matches the Rfam family "Bacterial small subunit ribosomal RNA", at positions 856 to 1375 of the family's 1533-position model. The record is from RNAcentral. Lineage: Bacteria; Pseudomonadati; Acidobacteriota.
CGCAUUAAACAUUCCGCCUGGGGAGUACGGUCGCAAGGCUGAAACUCGAAGGAAUUGACGGGGGCCCGCACAAGCGGUGGAGCAUGUGGUUCAAUUCGACGCAACGCGAAGAACCUUACCCAGGCUCGAACGGCAUUGGACAUCCUGCGAAAGCAGGCUCCCGCAAGGGCCGAUGUCGAGGUGCUGCAUGGCUGUCGUCAGCUCGUGUCGUGAGAUGUUGGGUUAAGUCCCGCAACGAGCGCAACCCUUGUCCGCUGUUGCCAUCACGUUAUGGUGGGCACUCUGCGGAGACUGCCGGUGAUAAACCGGAGGAAGGUGGGGAUGACGUCAAGUCAGCAUGGCCUUUAUGUCUGGGGCUACACACGUGCUACAAUGGCCGGUACAAACCGUCGCAAAACCGUAAGGUCGAGCUAAUCGGAGAAAGCCGGUCUCAGUUCGGAUUGCAGGCUAGGGAGAGAACUGCAUGAAGUUGGAAUCGCUAGUAAUCGCGGAUCAGCACGCCGCGGUGAAUACGUUCCC